CUAAUGUGUUUUCCUGUUAUUUUCUUGAUAAUCAAUGUAGAAACUCAAUUUUACAAGGCGGCCUGCAAGAGACUGACAAACUGAAGGGUCAGUUCCAAAAUGUGCAUGUUCCUCUGGAAGUCUUUGAGUACAUUGAUGAAGGCAGAAACCCUCAGCUGUACACCAAAGUGUUAUGUACGCGUCUUGUGGGUUUCCCCCGCCGACCGGUAGAUGUCCCUUUUCCCCGGCCGAGCCCACCGCGGUCAGUCUAGUUUAAGCCUCGCUGGUACUCGGUGGCGUCUAACGCAUCUGGCUCUCCGUGGAAUACAAUUACGUCGAUCGCUAUCGACGACUAAGAUUGCAUGGAAAAAGCUUAAAACAAAAAUGAACAAGUCAAAGGAAAGACUGAUUCAUACAGAAUGUUUAAAGCUCACUUGUUGGAGGAACUCAGCCAAGUGUUUCCAAAUGAGACCAUGAAAUAUCGUAUUGCCAGAGGAGAUGACAUCAACAGCAUUCCAUAGUUAUAAAUUUGAAUACUGUAAUCGAAAUCGUUGGGGGUUGAGAGUUCUGGAUGUAAAAUUGUCAUUAAAUGUUGGGUCCUGCUGCUCAAAAAUGUAAUAUACCAUUUACAUAACAA
Molecule: long non-coding RNA, 616 nt
Organism: Daphnia pulicaria
Lineage: Eukaryota; Metazoa; Arthropoda; Branchiopoda; Diplostraca; Daphniidae
Exons: 2
Source: RefSeq, a predicted model, not a curated record